UUGGCCACAUUGGGACUGAGACACGGCCCAAACUCCUACGGGAGGCAGCAGUAGGGAAUCUUCCACAAUGGACGCAAGUCUGAUGGAGCAACGCCGCGUGAGUGAUGAAGGGUUUCGGCUCGUAAAACUCUGUUGUUGGAGAAGAACGGGUGUCAGAGUAACUGUUGACAUCGUGACGGUAUCCAACCAGAAAGCCACGGCUAACUACGUGCCAGCAGCCGCGGUAAUACGUAGGCGGCAAGCGUUGUCCGGAUUUAUUGGGCGUAAAGCGAGCGCAGGCGGUUUUCUAGGUCUGAUGUGAAAGCCUUCGGCUUAACCGGAGAAGUGCAUCGGAAACCGGGAGACUUGAGUGCGGAAGAGGACAGUGGAACUCCAUGUGUAGCGGUGAAAUGCGUAGAUAUAUGGAAGAACACCAGUGGCGAAGGCGGCUGUCUGGUCUGCAACUGACGCUGAGGCUCGAAAGCAUGGGUAGCGAACAGGAUUAGAUACCCUGGUAGUCCAUGCCGUAAACGAUGAGUGCUAAGUGUUGGAGGGUUUCCGCCCUUCAGUGCUGCAGCUAACGCAUUAAGCACUCCGCCUGGGGAGUACGACCGCAAGGUUGAAACUCAAAGGAAUUGACGGGGGCCCGCACAAGCGGUGGAGCAUGUGGUUUAAUUCGAUGCUACGCGAAGAACCUUACCAGGUCUUGACAUCUUCUGCUAACCUAAGAGAUUAGGCGUUCCCUUCGGGGACGGAAUGACAGGUGGUGCAUGGUUGUCGUCAGCUCGUGUCGUGAGAUGUUGGGUUAAGUCCCGCAACGAGCGCAACCCUUAUUGUCAGUUGCCAGCAUUUAGUUGGGCACUCUGGCGAGACUGCCGGGAACAAAACCGGAGGAAGGUGGGGGAUGACGUCAAAUCAUCAUGCCCCUUAUGACCUGGGCUACACACGUGCUACAAUGGACGGUACAACGAGUCGCGAAACCGCGAGGUCAAGCUAAUCUCUGAAAGCCGUUCUCAAGUUCGGAUUGCAGGCUGCACUCGCCUGCAUGAAGUUGGAAU
Molecule: ribosomal RNA, 1037 nt
Filed under: uncultured bacterium
Lineage: Bacteria
Description: bacterial SSU rRNA
Rfam family: Bacterial small subunit ribosomal RNA
Source: RNAcentral